UGCCCCUGUAGAUAUAGUUUAACAUAAAACAUUAGUCUGUGGACCUAAAAAUAGAAGUUAAAAUCUUCUUAUAAACC
Molecule: transfer RNA, 77 nt
Filed under: Elgaria kingii
Lineage: Eukaryota; Metazoa; Chordata; Lepidosauria; Squamata; Anguidae
Description: tRNA-His
Rfam family: tRNA
About the family: Transfer RNA (tRNA) molecules are approximately 80 nucleotides in length. Their secondary structure includes four short double-helical elements and three loops (D, anti-codon, and T loops).
Source: RNAcentral